AAUUUUGGACAAUGGGGGAAACCCUGAUCCAGCCAUCCCGCGCGUAUGAUGAAGGCCUUCGGGUUGUAAAGUACUUUUGGCAGAGAAGAAAAGGCAUCCCCUAAUACGGGAGGCUGCUGACGGUAUCUGCAGAAUAAGCACCGGCUAACUACGUGCCAGCAGCCGCGGUAAUACGUAGGUUGUAAGCGUUAAUCGGAAUUACUGGGCGUAAAGAGUGUGUAGGCGGUUCGGAAAGAAAGAUGUGAGACCACAGGGCUCAACCUUGGAACUGCCUUUUUAACUGCCGGGCUAGAGUAUGUCAGGGGGGGGUAGAAUUCCACGUGUAGCAGUGGAAUGCGUAGAUAUGUGGAGGAGUACCGAUGGCGAAGGCAGCCCCCUGGGAUAAUACUGACGCUCAGACACGAAAGCGUGGGGAGCAAACAGG
This 424-nucleotide ribosomal RNA is filed under the name uncultured bacterium. RNAcentral describes it as "partial 16S ribosomal RNA". It matches the Rfam family "Bacterial small subunit ribosomal RNA", at positions 360 to 776 of the family's 1533-position model. The record is from RNAcentral.